Molecule: ribosomal RNA, 484 nt
Filed under: uncultured bacterium
Lineage: Bacteria
Description: partial 16S ribosomal RNA
Rfam family: Bacterial small subunit ribosomal RNA
Source: RNAcentral
AUUGAACGCUGGCGGCAGGCCUAACACAUGCAAGUCGAGCGGAUGAAGGGAGCUUGCUCCUGGAUUCAGCGGCGGACGGGUGAGUAAUGCCUAGGAAUCUGCCUGGUAGUGGGGGAUAACGUCCGGAAACGGGCGCUAAUACCGCAUACGUCCUGAGGGAGAAAGUGGGGGAUCUUCGGACCUCACGCCAUCAGAUAAGCCUAGGUCGGAUUAGCUAGUUGGUGGGGUAAAGGCCUACCAAGGCGACGAUCCGUAACUGGUCUGAGAGGAUGAUCAGUCACACUGGAACUGAGACACGGUCCAGACUCCUACGGGAGGCAGCAGUGGGGAAUAUUGGACAAUGGGCGAAAGCCUGAUCCAGCCAUGCCGCGUGUGUGAAGAAGGUCUUCGGAUUGUAAAGCACUUUAAGUUGGGAGGAAGGGCAGUAAGUUAAUACCUUGCUGUUUUGACGUUACCAACAGAAUAAGCACCGGCUAACUUCGUG